RNAcentral lists this ribosomal RNA (254 nucleotides) under uncultured bacterium. RNAcentral's name for it is "partial 16S ribosomal RNA". It matches the Rfam family "Bacterial small subunit ribosomal RNA", at positions 524 to 776 of the family's 1533-position model. The record is from RNAcentral.
GACGAACCGUGCGAACGUUAUUCGGAAUCACUGGGCUUAAAGCGCGUGUAGGCGGACGGGGACGUUGGUCGCUGAAAUCCCCCGGCUCAACCGGGGAACGGGCGCCGAAACGCCCCGUCUCGAGGGACGUAGGGGGACCUGGAACUUCCGGUGGAGCGGUGAAAUGCGUUGAGAUCGGAAGGAACGCCCGUGGCGAAAGCGAGGUCCUGGACGUCUUCUGACGCUGAGACGCGAAAGCUAGGGGAGCGAACGGG